CUCAACACACUAAUAUCAUGUCGUGUUUUUCCUUCAGCAGUUGGUCCUACAAAGGAGUGGAAACCAAAGUCAACAAAUGUAAAACCUGCUCCAGCGGUGGGAAAAUUGGAAACUACUAUGAAGCAUUGAGCAUGGAGCAUUGGUUGAAGAGGAGGGAGGAGGGGAGGGGGAGGGGGGCGGGGAUGGGAAGGAGAUACUGCAGAGCAAGAAGGACCGGGCGAGGCUCGACGGGAUGUAUAAAGUUUGGAUCUUUUGUUGGUGCUCAACUUCACUCGGUUUUGUGUAUCUAUUUGUCAGAUUUUCUACUGUGAUGGCGAGACAAUUGUUGGCAACUUCUAUCUUGUCUACUUUGCAUCCAUUUGCUAGAUGUGCAGACCUGUUCAGGGGAAAGUGUUGGUUUGUUUCUAAGGGGGUGUUAUUCAUCCAGGGUUGUUUGGUAGAGGACAAUAUUCUUGAUUGAUGUCAGGGCAAAUCUGGGCUCUCCACUGUCUUUCAUGUUCUCUUUUUUAGAGCCCCUUUUCGUUGAUAUAGUUUUGAUUUGUAUAUGCAAAGUAUGAUUGCCAUUCUCAUUGUAAAAUAAGAAGCAUUUUUAUUGGAGCUAUAUUAUGAAUUCACUCUACA
Asparagus officinalis (garden asparagus) is the source of this 621-nucleotide long non-coding RNA. RefSeq lists it as uncharacterized. Lineage: Eukaryota; Viridiplantae; Streptophyta; Magnoliopsida; Asparagales; Asparagaceae. The record is from RefSeq and is a predicted model, not a curated record. The transcript has 2 exons.